This 440-nucleotide ribosomal RNA is filed under the name uncultured bacterium. RNAcentral's name for it is "partial 16S ribosomal RNA". It matches the Rfam family "Bacterial small subunit ribosomal RNA", at positions 338 to 795 of the family's 1533-position model. The record is from RNAcentral.
CCUACGGGUGGCAGCAGUAGGGAAUAUUGCUCAAUGGGGGAAACCCUGAAGCAGCAACGCCGCGUGGAGGAUGAAGGUUUUCGGAUUGUAAACUCCUUUUUUUAGAGAAGAUACUGACGGUAUCUAACGCAUAAGCACCGGCUAACUCCGUGCCAGCAGCCGCGGUCAUACGGAGGGUGCAAGCGUUACUCGGAAUCACUGGGCGUAAAGAGCGCGUAGGCGGGAUAGCAAGUCAGAUGUGAAAUCCUAUGGCUUAACCAUAGAACUGCAUUUGAAACUGUUAUUCUAGAGUAUGGGAGAGGUAGGUGGAAUUCGUGGUGUAGGGGUAAAAUCCGUAGAGAUCAAGAGGAAUACUCAUUGCGAAGGCGACCUGCUAGAACAUAACUGACGCUGAUGCGCGAAAGCGUGGGGAGCAAACAGGAUUAGAUACCCGGGUAGUC